GACGAACGCUGGCGGCGUGCCUAAUACAUGCAAGUUGAGCGCUGAAGGUUGGUACUUGUACCAACUGGAUGAGCAGCGAACGGGUGAGUAACGCGUGGGGAAUCUGCCUUUGAGCGGGGGACAACAUUUGGAAACGAAUGCUAAUACCGCAUAAAAACUUUAAACACAAGUUUUAAGUUUGAAAGAUGCAAUUGCAUCACUCAAAGAUGAUCCCGCGUUGUAUUAGCUAGUUGGUGAGGUAAAGGCUCACCAAGGCGAUGAUACAUAGCCGACCUGAGAGGGUGGUCGGCCACAUUGGGACUGGGGCACGGCCCAAACCCCUACGGGAGGCAGCAGUAGGGAAUCUUCGGCCAUGGACGAAAGUCUGACCGAGCAACGCCGCGUGAGUGAAGAAGGGUUUCGGGUCGUAAAACUCUGUUGGUAGAGAAGAAAGUUGGUGAGAGUGGAAAGCUCAUCAAGUGACGGUAACUACCCAGAAAGGGACGGCUAACUACGUG
RNAcentral lists this ribosomal RNA (497 nucleotides) under uncultured bacterium. Its description in RNAcentral is "partial 16S ribosomal RNA". It matches the Rfam family "Bacterial small subunit ribosomal RNA", at positions 28 to 507 of the family's 1533-position model. The record is from RNAcentral.